Molecule: ribosomal RNA, 424 nt
Filed under: uncultured bacterium
Lineage: Bacteria
Description: bacterial SSU rRNA
Rfam family: Bacterial small subunit ribosomal RNA
Source: RNAcentral
UGAGGAAUAUUGGUCAAUGGGCGGAAGCCUGAACCAGCCAAGUCGCGUGAGGGAUUAAGGCCCUGCGGGUCGUAAACCUCUUUUGCCGGGGAGCAGAGGUCCGGACGUGUCCGGGCCGGGAGAGUACCCGGAGAAAAAGCAUCGGCUAACUCCGUGCCAGCAGCCGCGGUAAUACGGAGGAUGCGAGCGUUAUCCGGAUUUAUUGGGUUUAAAGGGUGCGUAGGCGGGCAUUUAAGCCGGCGGUCAAAUGUCGGGGCUCAACCCCGGCCUGCCGUCGGAACUGGGUGCCUUGAGUGGGCGAGAAGUAUGCGGAAUGCGUGGUGUAGCGGUGAAAUGCAUAGAUAUCACGCAGAACCCCGAUUGCGAAGGCAGCAUACCGGCGCCCUACUGACGCUGAGGCACGAAAGUGCGGGUAUCGAACAGG